CCCUGAGUCCUCCCAGGAAUCUGCAGUUCUCAGACAUCACUCAUAACUCGGCCCACAUCAGCUGGGAUCCACCGCCCAGUGAAGUUAAAGGUUACCGCAUCAUGUGGGUCAUGACAGACGGACUGAUUACAAAGGAGGUGAAGGUGGGCCCGGUUUAACUCUUACGACCUCAGUGAGCUGACGUCUCUGAAGAGAGUACUCGGUGGCCAUCUUUGCUCUGUACGGCGAGGGGCAGUCGGAGCCGCUCACUGAUGCCUUUACAACCACUCCGGUUCCUGGUCCUCUAAAUCUGCGCUCCAGUGAUGUCAACACAGACAGCUUUAAGGUCAGCUGGGAUCACUCAGCCGCAGACAUUGUUCUCUACAGACUCUCCUGGGUGCCGUUCUCUGGUGGUGACGUAAAGGAGGUCAUUUUGAGUGGAAGGGAAAACAGCUACACCCUGAGCAAGCUCGAUCCCUCCACUGAAUAUGAAGUCCUGUUAACGGCCAUAUUAAAAGAUGAAUCUGAGAGUGACACAGUCUCUGUCAUAGAAACCACGAUGGCCUUAACAACAACAAUUCCAACCACGACCACAGGUAAGAAAUGUCAAAGGUGAAUCUAUGUGUUAUUGCAAA
Long non-coding RNA from Fundulus heteroclitus (mummichog), 614 nucleotides. RefSeq lists it as uncharacterized. The record is from RefSeq and is a predicted model, not a curated record. NCBI's taxonomy places the organism in Eukaryota, Metazoa, Chordata, Actinopteri, Cyprinodontiformes, Fundulidae. The transcript has 5 exons.